This 404-nucleotide ribosomal RNA is filed under the name uncultured bacterium. RNAcentral's name for it is "bacterial SSU rRNA". It matches the Rfam family "Bacterial small subunit ribosomal RNA", at positions 28 to 433 of the family's 1533-position model. The record is from RNAcentral.
GGCGAACGCUGGCGGCGUGCUUAACACAUGCAAGUCGAGCGGUAAGGCCCUUUCGGGGGUACACGAGCGGCGAACAGGUGAGUAACACGUGGGUGACCUGCCCUCAGCUCUGGGAUAAGCCUGGGAAACUGGGUCUAAUACUGGAUAUGACUCCACGGUGCAUGUCGUGGGGUGGAAAGCCUUGUGCGGCUGAGGAUGGGCCCGCGGCCUAUCAGCUUGUUGGUGGGGUGAUGGCCUACCAAGGCGACGACGGGUAGCCGGCCUGAGAGGGCGACCGGCCACACUGGGACUGAGACACGGCCCAGACUCCUACGGGAGGCAGCAGUGGGGAAUCUUGCGCAAUGGGCGAAAGCCUGACGCAGCGACGCCGCGUGAGGGAUGACGGCCUGCGGGUUGUAAAGCAC